ACUACGGGCGGCAGCAGUGGGGAAUAUUGCACAAUGGGCGCAAGCCUGAUGCAGCCAUGCCGCGUGUGUGAAGAAGGCCUUCGGGUUGUAAAGCACUUUCAGCGGGGAGGAAGGCGUUAAGGUUAAUAACCUUGUCGAUUGACGUUACCCGCAGAAGAAGCACCGGCUAACUCCGUGCCAGCAGCCGCGGUAAUACGGAGGGUGCAAGCGUUAAUCGGAAUUACUGGGCGUAAAGCGCACGCAGGCGGUCUGUCAAGUCGGAUGUGAAAUCCCCGGGCUCAACCUGGGAACUGCAUUCGAAACUGGCAGGCUAGAGUCUUGUAGAGGGGGGUAGAAUUCCAGGUGUAGCGGUGAAAUGCGUGGAGAUCUGGAGGAAUACCGGUGGCGAAGGCGGCCCCCUGGACAAAGACUGACGCUCAGGUGCGAAAGCGUGGGGAGCAAACAGGAUUAGAUACCCGUGUAGUC
This 465-nucleotide ribosomal RNA is filed under the name uncultured Klebsiella sp. RNAcentral's name for it is "bacterial SSU rRNA". It matches the Rfam family "Bacterial small subunit ribosomal RNA", at positions 338 to 795 of the family's 1533-position model. Lineage: Bacteria; Pseudomonadati; Pseudomonadota; Gammaproteobacteria; Enterobacterales; Enterobacteriaceae. The record is from RNAcentral.